UUGAUUCUCGGUGAACAUGAAUUUGUUGCUCCCUUUCCUUUUGUUCCUACUUUUUUAGGUAAAAACUUACUAACUUCUCUGAUUACUCUACCAUCCCUGUUUCUUUCAGAAGUCUCUGGAGCUCAUUUUCUUUUUACUUGGUAUUUUUUUAAGGCAGCUUUUUUGCUGCUGUGAUCACCAGACCUCACAAGAACAACCAGAGGAGGAAAGGUUUGUGUCACAGUUUCAGACUCUCAGUCCAUGGAUGACUAACUCCAUUGCUCGGCCUGAGGGGAGCCAGAACAUCAUGGUGGAAGGGUGUGGUGGAAGAAUCAGCUCAGGACAUGGCCACCAGGAAACAGAAAGAGAUCCCCUCACCAGGAACAAAACACAAACCCCAGAGGCACACCCCCAGUGACCCACCUCCUGCAGCCACACCCCACCUGCCUACAGUUACCACCCAGCUAAUCCCUAGCAGGGCAUUAGUGCAACGAUCAGGUUAAGGGCCUCAUAACUCGGGGUCAUUUUACCUCUGAAUUUUCUUGCAUUGCCUCACACAGGGGCUUUGGGGAACACCUCAUAUCUGAAACUUAACCGCCCUCCUCUAAGGAUGUCUUCCAGGUGAUGUUUCAUAGCUGUUCUUCUAAGGUUUGUGUGCCUGAAGAGAGCUCUGAUGCGCUUUCACUUUUAGAUGAAUUCAUCAGGCUAUGCAGGGCUCUGAGCCAGGCUCAAGAGGUUCCUCGCUUAGCAGAGGUCCUGCCUGUUCACCCAGGGCGGCUGGUGACCGACCGUAGGUAGGUUCCUGUUGCUUUGUUGGUCAUCUCCCUUUCUUCUCUCACAGG
RNAcentral lists this long non-coding RNA (821 nucleotides) under Marmota monax (woodchuck). The record is from RNAcentral. Lineage: Eukaryota; Metazoa; Chordata; Mammalia; Rodentia; Sciuridae.